AGUGAACGCUGGCGGUAGGCCUAACACAUGCAGUCGGACGGCAGCACCGUAAGAGCUUGCUCUUACGGGUGGCGAGUGGCGGACGGGUGAGGAAUACAUCGGAAUCUACUUUUUCGUGGGGGAUAACGUAGGGAAACUUACGCUAAUACCGCAUACGACCUACGGGUGAAAGCAGGGGAUCUUCGGACCUUGCGCGAUUGAAUGAGCCGAUGUCGGAUUAGCUAGUUGGCGGGGUAAAGGCCCACCAAGGCGACGAUCCGUAGCUGGUCUGAGAGGAUGAUCAGCCACACUGGAACUGAGACACGGUCCAGACUCCUACGGGAGGCAGCAGUGGGGAAUAUUGGACAAUGGGCGCAAGCCUGAUCCAGCCAUACCGCGUGGGUGAAGAAGGCCUUCGGGUUGUAAAGCCCUUUUGUUGGGAAAGAAAAGCAGCAGGUUAAUACCCCGCUGUUCUGACGGUACCCAAAGAAUAAGCACCGGCUAACUUCGUG
Molecule: ribosomal RNA, 491 nt
Filed under: uncultured bacterium
Lineage: Bacteria
Description: partial 16S ribosomal RNA
Rfam family: Bacterial small subunit ribosomal RNA
Source: RNAcentral